Molecule: long non-coding RNA, 4068 nt
Filed under: Phaseolus vulgaris (common bean)
Lineage: Eukaryota; Viridiplantae; Streptophyta; Magnoliopsida; Fabales; Fabaceae
Description: long non-coding RNA (PVUL_LNC005224)
Source: RNAcentral
AGGAAUCAUGUGAAAUUCCAACCAUAAAACUAGACAUAGAAGAGUUCACUUUGAACUUGCAAAACUAUAUGGAACAAAGCAUGGAACUUCAAGAAGGAGAAAUGUCAAAGGCCUUGGUUGCUUUACAUCCAGAUGCUGCACGCAUUCCUACACCCAAGCUGAAGUAUAAGAGCAACUUGAGAACAGAGCAUUACGUGUAAGUGGGAAAACUAAUUCAUCGCACACUAUUUAAUUGGAAUUCACAAUUUUAAUACAGGAAAACAGGCUAACUAAUGAGAUGAGGAGCAAGUAAUUUAACAAGCAAAACAUGUUGUACAAUUUCAAUUUAUCAAGAAAUAUGCAGAGAUUAAUAGUUAACCACAAAGUAACAAGAAUCUCCUAUUCAAUACACUCCAGUGUUUGGCAGAGUUCUGAUGAAGCAUCGUAUCAAUCAUACUAUAUUAGUGAAAAAUUCUUGUAAAUUAUUCUGAUAUUGUGUUCGCUUUCUUGCAGUUAUGAACUCCCUGAUUCACAUCCUCUUCUGAAUGGGGUUAGUUAUUUCUACAUCCACUAAACAUAAUUGUGUUUCAUUAUACGUGCCCAUUUUGUUAAUUAGUUAUUAACUACAGUGGGAACAGCGAGAACCAGAUGAUCCAGGGAAAUAUCUUCUAGCUAUAUGGACCCCAGGUGAACAAAAAUAACUUGACACCAUGUUUUUUUUCUAAAUUAGUUUGGACUAGCUGUAGUUUUUGUUACCAUUUACAGCAGUACAAAUAUAUGAUUAUUUUGGUUUGUGGUCCUUUUCAUGUUGCCAAACACAUUGUGUACAACAGGGGAGACAGCAGAUUCCAUACAACCACCAGAAAGAAAAUGCAGCUCUCAGGACUGUGGACAGCUUUGUAAAGAAAAUGAAUGUUUUGCAUGCAACAGUGUCCGUGAAGCAAAUUCACAAAUAGUUCGAGGAACACUCCUGGUCUGAAUGCUUAACCAUUCAUUGUUUAUUAUUCUUAGCACUAAUAACAUCAUGCUGGAGAAACAAAUAACUGGGUAGAGAAGCAAUUUGCAUAUGAAUGCAAAUAUUAUAAUAGGCUAACUAUAAAUAAUUUCUGAAUAGAUACCAUGCCGAACAGCUAUGGGAGGGACCUUUCCGCUAAAUGGGACCUAUUUUCAAGUCAAUGAGGUAAAAAAAGUGUUGUGGCUUAUUAGAAAUUUAUUUCGCUAAUGUGUUGCUAAAUUAAGUACUAAAAUAUAAUUUGAUGCAGGUUUUCGCUGAUAAUGACUCAAGUAUAAACCCAAUUAGUGUUCCCCGAAGUUGGAUCUGGAACCUUCGUAGGAGAACAGUGUAUUUUGGAACCUCCGUAACACACAUAUUUAGAGGUAUCUACUUAAAAAAUAUGUUACUAAAAUAGAUAGAUAUCAAACUAUUAUACUACUGAAUGCGUAUUCUUUUGUCAACCAGACCUAUCAACACAAGAAAUUCAACAAUGCUUCUGGAGAGGUAAGAUUUAUCUCACAGAAUGUAAUCCUACUUAUUGGUAUUCGAUAUCCCAGUUCAACUGGUUCUUUCUUUUAUAAUAAGCUCCAUUAGAUCACAGUCUUUGUAGAAACACUAAGUGAGCAAUAUUACGCACUUGUAUGACUUUAUAAGAAAAUAUUACUCAUUUGUAUGACUUUAUCUACUCAUCAUAUGAUGGAUGUCACAAUCAUGACUCAUCCAUAGAAGGACAAUGGAAUAUGUAGGAAUUUCAGUGUAUGUGACAUCCAAUUUUACAAAUCCUACUGAAGUUUGAAUUGAAAGCACAUUAAUUUAUUUUUUUUACAAACAAGGCCGGAGACAUCAUCAUUCCAACAAAUUAGAAGCAUGACUUACUUCACGAGUGAUUAGAAAUAUAGUUUAUUUAUUAUAUAUAGUAUAAUAGACGUUUAAUGAUAAGUCAUUUGACAACCUAUAACCCAGACAAAUGUAUGUUGUACACAUGUACUUACUAGUAAAGCCACCCAUGUAGCUUACUUCCGGCGGCACACCCCUUAUCCAGGAGUCAUAACAAACUGAAAGUCCGAAGUCAUGAUUGAUAGCAACUCCCUUUGGUAGCAAUUCCCUUUUGCCUAAGAACUCUGACCGAUGUCUUUUUUUCAAUAAUCUAGCAAGCAACCAUAUUUAUCACCAUCAUAUAUUAUAAUACACGUUUAAUGAUAAGUCAUUUGACAACCUAUGACCCAGACAAAUGUAUGUGGUACACAUGUACUUACUAGUAAAUACUUCCGGCGGCACACCCCUUAUCCAGGAGUCAUAACAAACUGAAAGUAUGAAGUCAUGGUUGACAGCAACGCCCCUUGGUAACAAUUCCCUUUUGCCUAAGAACUCUGACCGAUGUCUUCUUUUUUCAAUAAUCUAGCAAGCAACCAUAUUUAUCACCAUCGUAUAUUAUAAUAGACGUUUAAUGAUAAGUCAUUUGACAACCUAUGACCCAGACAAAUGUAUGUGGUACGCAUGUACUUACUAGUAAAAGCACCCAUAUAGCUUACUUCCGGCGGCACACCCCUUAUCCAGGAGUCAUAACAAACUGAAAGUUUGAAGUCAUGGUUGACAGCAACUCCCCUUGGUAGGAAUUCCCCUUAGCCUGAGAACUCUGACCGAUGUCUUUUUUCUCAAUAAUCUAGCAAGCAAACAUGUUUAUCACAAUCAGUAUAGACAUUUCUUACAAGUGACACUAUAUGCUCUUCGCAUAUUGGAAAAUUUAAACACACAUUUCAAUUCUCGCAAUAUUAUAUAUAUCCAGUGUUUUUUACAUACCAAAUUAUGUAUCUGACUGCCUGUGUUUCCUUUCUUCCUUUUUGUAUGGAGCAAUGUAUGAUACACACCAAAAAACCUCUAAACUCACUACUCAAAUUUGCUAAACGAAUUAUUAUUUCUAGCUUUUAUUUUAGCUAUAAGUUAUUUCUAGAAGACUGAUUUAAAAGGCAGAUUUUUUCCUAAUACGAGGACUGCAAACGUUAACCUACAAGAUAGGCAAGUGAGUAUAUAACCUGACAUAUUUAAAAGGGCAAUUUAAAUGUUUUGCAGGAUAUGUUUGCGUGCGAGGAUUUGACAGGGAAAGAAGAGCGCCUCGGCCUCUGUUGGCUAGAUUGCACAUCCCAAUUAGCAAGAAGCCUAAGGAUCCUAAUGCUCCUAGGAAGCCUAGGAAGCCUAAGGAUCCUAAUGCUCCUAGGAAGCCUAGGAAGCCUAAGAAUCCAAAGAAUAAGGACAACACCCAAAAGAAGUCCAAGCCGGCAACACAAUCUAAAAAGAAACAAAAACAGCCAUAAUUGUUUUCCGGCAUUCAGGAGGGCGGUGAAGCCUGGAGACCGACAAAUGUUAUUCAAUAUUCAUCAUGUAUCCUGUGUAUUAUAGCAGAGCCAUGGUCAUGCUAAAAUACUUGACAAUUCUCAGAUUAGGACUAGGACCAAGACAGUAUAAUGGUUUCAAAUUUGCUUUUCAGCUCCGUGAAGAUCGAAGAUGUGUGUGAGGCAGGUGAAAUGAGGCUACUUACGCGAGAACAAAGCACAGUUGCACUCAUCAACAUUCUUCUACAUUUGAAUUUGUAUGACUUUAAAUUAACUAGUUCGUGUUGUAGUAUUUAUCAGAUUUAAAACUUCGAAUUUCAUUUCUUAGUUGCAUAAAUGUGUCAUGUUUUACAAUUCUUCAAUUUUCUAGAUCUGUUAACAACAAACUAAUAUCUUCAAGUUCAAAAUCAAAAAAAGAAUCGUACGAUCCCAUGAAUUGCGACGAAGGCAUCAUCAUGAAACCAAACCGACCCUGCCGUAACAUUUAUAAAAUCGAAGCUUUGGAACGACAAUAGAAAAAAGCGAAAGUAUAUAAAGAGCUUUCAGAUGAAGAAGAAUACCUCUUAGGUCUUCGUCCUCAGAAGCAGAAACUGGAAGAGUGACAUGCUUAGAGAGUGAGAGGAGCAAGGUAAAUAGAUACUUGCAGGGUGAGAAGAUGAAGGGAGGUGAAGAGGUAUUUAUAGAACCCUUUUUUUGCCGCCUUACCCAUUCUUAUUUUUAUUCCCUCCCUUUUUUACUUCUAACUUUGUUUGCCGCCUAGCAAAG